UUGAAGUUUGAAAUGGAGUGAUCGAAAUAAAAAUAAAAAUAAAUGAAUACAUAAACAAGAAUUAACUUGAGGGCUGUAAUAAUAACUCAACAAUCUUUAAGAUGGCACAAUAGCUACAUUAGCUUACACUGAAUAAUAAACAUUAUUGACAUAAAACAGCUGCUAGUGUGUUAAGCAACAAAAUUCCAGCAAGAUUGGAAAGGCAGAGCAAAAUUAAUUAUCAGAUGUAAAUCUACAGAAAGUUGAACACAAACAGAUGCUGGUCACAACUAUAAGACGUCCGCAUCUUCACGUGCUUUUCAUCCCCUAGCUUGUGUUAUGAGAUGUCAUCAGCAAACCGCAAGAAACUGGAAUAAUAAGAAUCGACAAAUUAGAGAUGCUACCCAGUAUCUACUGGGGAAGAGAAAAUCACACAAUUAUCAGCUUUAGCUAGCUUCACGAAUUGGCUCAAAAACAAAUCACAUAGAAGCAUGGGGAAGGAGCAGUUUCGGCCUCGUAUACCACGGUCGUUUGUGGUUGCCGGAGAAGGAACCGGAGGUACGGUCAACCAGCUGGACCAAAACGUCGAGGCCAGCCUCCUCAAGCUACUCUGGAGUCCUGGUGAGGUGCUGAUGCCGAGCCUCCUCAAGCUACUCUGCCGACGCCGACCGUUGUAUUGAGUGGUCACCUCCUCGUGCAGGUCUCCUCCUCGUCGUGGUAGAGACGACGGUGGUGUAGUCAGAGGAGGAAGGGCAUGAGGGGUGCGACCUCGAUCUGGUGGAUUUUAGUGGGUGUUGCUGAUCUCUUAGGGCGCUGAAGGGAGCGGCGCAACUCGGGAGGGGAGGGGCAGUCAGCGACUGGAUUUUCAGGAUGGGAAUGGGCCGACCCGGCCCUGGCCUUGGACCCGGCCCUCAUGGCCCCAAGGCCAAUUUGAGAAGCCACGGGUUGACCCAUAUAAAAAAUAGUCAGUGGCCUUG
This 956-nucleotide long non-coding RNA is filed under the name Triticum aestivum (bread wheat). RNAcentral describes it as "long non-coding RNA (TAES_LNC008584)". Lineage: Eukaryota; Viridiplantae; Streptophyta; Magnoliopsida; Poales; Poaceae. The record is from RNAcentral.